UCGCCGGAACUGCCUGCUGGAAUCCUCUGCCACAAGUGUGAAAGAAACCUAAGUAUGGGGUUAUUCACACAGCGUUUAGUUUUUUUUACAUGUCCUAUUUUGUCGGUUUUCAUGGACCAACAGCCGCCAUACAAUUGAAGGGGACAGUUUUUAACAUCCAUUUCUCAGUGAAAUAAAAUGGCCAUUACAAACAUGUGAAUGUAGCCUAAAAGGGAUUUCACGUUAUAGUAUAACAGGUCAUUUGUGUAGGAUUUUCAUUGACACUUAGCGCGACCUAGCCAAGUCAGACUUAAUUAGACGAUUCCAGACAGCGGCUGCUGAAGACAUAACAAGUUGCACAGGCUUCAGAUUUACAGUACUCUGCAGCACUUUCUUUAUAGGAUAGUAACAGUUUAACACUGUGUUGUAGUGAAAAUUUGUAACAUUAGCUAAAACUGGCCACACUUUUUUGAGCGAAGCUCCACAAAAUUAUUUUGCUUUUGUGUAAUUUUGAACUUUAUGGUAUCCGUUACAGGCGCCUGAUACCCUUCUUCUUCCUCUUGACCUUCUGUUGCAUAGGUUUGGUUCUCCACGUCUAAUUUUGGUAAAAUCAAACAUGUUGACUCCCUGAGAGAAGAACAUCACCUCGUAGACCUGUGAGCUAAGGUGCGGUGCAUAGAUUUCAUAAAAACGUCUGACCCUCACAGACGUCAAUGUCCAUAUUGUCCCGGCAGAUCCUAUCAGUGGGUCAUCCUUUAUCAGUGGUCACUCAUAUUACAAAAUCCUCUUGUUUUGUCGCUGGGCGAUAAAUAACAUUGGGGUGCUCAGUA
Long non-coding RNA from Bufo bufo (common toad), 809 nucleotides. RefSeq lists it as uncharacterized. The transcript is spliced from 2 exons. The record is from RefSeq and is a predicted model, not a curated record. Lineage: Eukaryota; Metazoa; Chordata; Amphibia; Anura; Bufonidae.